GAUGAACGCUGACAGAAUGCUUAACACAUGCAAGUCUUUGGCGAAGCUGUGCUCGCACAGCCUAGCCAAGGCGGACGGGUGAGUAACGCGUAAGGAACUUGCCCUGCAGUCAGGGAUAACAGACGGAAACGACUGAUAAGACCUGGUAAAGUCAGGCGGACUCAUGUCCAGCCUGAUGAAAAGAGAUGCUGCAGGAGAGCCUUGCGUCCUAUUAGCUUGUUGGUGGGGUAACGGCCCACCAAGGCGAUGAUAGGUAGCCGGCCUGAGAGGGUGGACGGCCACAAGGGGACUGAGAUACGGCCCUUACUCCUACGGGAGGCAGCAGUGGGGAAUAUUGGACAAUGGGGGCAACCCUGAUCCAGCAAUUCUGCGUGCACGAUGAAGGUUUUCGGAGUGUAAAGUGCUUUCAGCAGGGAAGAAAAAAAUGACGGUACCUGCAGAAGAAGCGACGGCUAAAUACGUG
Molecule: ribosomal RNA, 463 nt
Filed under: uncultured bacterium
Lineage: Bacteria
Description: partial 16S ribosomal RNA
Rfam family: Bacterial small subunit ribosomal RNA
Source: RNAcentral